Molecule: long non-coding RNA, 905 nt
Filed under: Salvia miltiorrhiza (redroot sage)
Lineage: Eukaryota; Viridiplantae; Streptophyta; Magnoliopsida; Lamiales; Lamiaceae
Description: long non-coding RNA (SMIL_LNC004701)
Source: RNAcentral
GAAAACCUGAGCUAAGUUCUGACGAGAGUGGCGUGGAAGCUGUCGGAUGUACCUUCUUGCAUCCUCGUUUCUUGUGAAAUUGAGGUCGGAAUCAGUAGGUGUGCCUAGAAGCUGCAAAACAGAUCAUCAAAUCAGAGACGUUUAGUGGUAAAUUAGCAAUGAAAUCUAUGCAGCAAUCCCACAAAAAAGAAAGCUUCAAAACAGAAAAGUUUAGUUCUAACAGACAAAUCAAACAACUUAGGAUCGGAAAAGUUGGAAACUAAGCUAGCCCUUUUUGCAGCAUGAAUCAAGAUUUGAAAUUUUCUUCAACUUUUUUAUUGGUAGCGAUGCAAUAUGAAAUCUAUGCAGAAAUCCCAAAUAAAAAACAAUAGCUUCAAAACAGAGAGAUUUAGUUCGAAUAGGCAAAUUAAACAAUUCAGAAAGCGAAGCAAAGUAUGGACCAAGAAUUGAAAUUCUCUUCAUUUUUCUGAAUGGUAAUAAUGAUGCAUUAUGAAAUCAGUGCAGCAACCCCACAAAAAUAAUUAGCUCCAGACAUAGAGAAAGUUAGUUGUAACAAGCAACUCAAAUAAUAGUUAACAAGCAACAAUCAUGGGGAAAAAAAAAGUAGCAGCCCUUUUGCAGCAUGCAUCAAUAAUUGGAAAAUCUUGAUCUUUUUUAAGAUUGGUAAUGUAUGUACCUCAAUCAACAAGUGCAUUUGAUGCACGUGAUCUUUCCCAGCAAACAACGGCUUCCUGUUCAUAAGCUCCAUGAAAAUGCAACCAACCGACCAAACAUCAAUAGCAGCAGUGUACUCGGACGAAUUGAGCAGGAGCUCGGGUGCCCUGUACCAUCUCGUCACAACAUACUCUGUCAUGAAGUCGUUCUCUGAGCUCGUUCGUGCCAGCCCAAAGUCGCAUAUCUUGAGG